GGGGAAUUUUGGACAAUGGGCGCAAGCCUGAUCCAGCCAUGCCGCGUGCAGGAUGAAGGCCCUCGGGUUGUAAACUGCUUUUGUACGGAACGAAAAGCCUCUUUCUAAUAAAGAGGGGUGAUGACGGUACCGUAAGAAUAAGCACCGGCUAACUACGUGCCAGCAGCCGCGGUAAUACGUAGGGUGCGAGCGUUAAUCGGAAUUACUGGGCGUAAAGCGUGCGCAGGCGGUCUUGCAAGACAGUGGUGAAAUCCCCGGGCUCAACCUGGGAACUGCCACUGUGACUGCAAUGCUGGAGUACGGCAGACGAGGAUGGAAUUCCGCGUGUAGCAGUGAAAUGCGUAGAUAUGCGGAGGAACACCGAUGGCGAAGGCAAUCCCCUGGGCCUGCACUGACGCUCAUGCACGAAAGCGUGG
This 416-nucleotide ribosomal RNA is filed under the name uncultured bacterium. RNAcentral's name for it is "bacterial SSU rRNA". It matches the Rfam family "Bacterial small subunit ribosomal RNA", at positions 356 to 764 of the family's 1533-position model. The record is from RNAcentral.